UUGGGCGUAAGAGCUCGUAGGCGGUUUGUCGCGUCUGCCGUGAAAGUCCGGGGCUCAACUCCGGAUCUGCGGUGGGUACGGGCAGACUAGAGUGAUGUAGGGGAGACUGGAAUUCCUGGUGUAGCGGUGAAAUGCGCAGAUAUCAGGAGGAACACCGAUGGCGAAGGCAGGUCUCUGGGCAUUAACUGACGCUGAGGAGCGAAAGCAUGGGGAGCGAACAGGAUUAGAUACCCUGGUAGUCCAUGCCGUAAACGUUGGGCACUAGGUGUGGGGGACAUUCCACGUUUUCCGCGCCGUAGCUAACGCAUUAAGUGCCCCGCCUGGGGAGUACGGCCGCAAGGCUAAAACUCAAAGGAAUUGACGGGGGCCCGCACAAGCGGCGGAGCAUGCGGAUUAAUUCGAUGCAACGCGAAGAACCUUACCAAGGCUUGACAUGGACUGGAAAUACCUGGAAACAGGUGCCCCGCUUGCGGUCGGUUCACAGGUGGUGCAUGGUUGUCGUCAGCUCGUGUCGUGAGAUGUUGGGUUAAGUCCCGCAACGAGCGCAACCCUCGUUCUAUGUUGCCAGCGCGUUAUGGCGGGGACUCAUAGGAGACUGCCGGGGUCAACUCGGAGGAAGGUGGGGACGACGUCAAAUCAUCAUGCCCCUUAUGUCUUGGGCUUCACGCAUGCUACAAUGGCCGGUACAAAGGGUUGCGAUACUGUGAGGUGGAGCUAAUCCCAAAAAGCCGGUCUCAGUUCGGAUUGGGGUCUGCAACUCGACCCCAUGAAGUCGGAGUCGCUAGUAAUCGCAGAUCAGCAACGCUGCGGUGAAUACGUUCCCGGGCCUUGUACACACCGCCCGUCAAGUCACGAAAGUUGGUAACACCCGAAGCCGGUGGCCUAACCCCUUGUGGGAGGGAGCUGUCGAAGUGGGACU
This 919-nucleotide ribosomal RNA is filed under the name Arthrobacter sp. RNAcentral describes it as "bacterial SSU rRNA". It matches the Rfam family "Bacterial small subunit ribosomal RNA", at positions 554 to 1469 of the family's 1533-position model. Lineage: Bacteria; Bacillati; Actinomycetota; Actinomycetes; Micrococcales; Micrococcaceae. The record is from RNAcentral.